Molecule: ribosomal RNA, 504 nt
Filed under: uncultured bacterium
Lineage: Bacteria
Description: partial 16S ribosomal RNA
Rfam family: Bacterial small subunit ribosomal RNA
Source: RNAcentral
AUUGAACGCUGGCGGCAUGCCUUACACAUGCAAGUCGAACGGCAGCAUGGAGAGCUUGCUCUCUGAUGGCGAGUGGCGAACGGGUGAGUAAUGCAUCGGAACGUACCGUGUAAUGGGGGAUAACGUAGCGAAAGUUACGCUAAUACCGCAUACGACCUGAGGGUGAAAGCAGGGGAUCGCAAGACCUUGCGUUAUACGAGCGGCCGAUGUCAGAUUAGCUAGUUGGUGAGGUAAAGGCUCACCAAGGCGACGAUCUGUAGCGGGUCUGAGAGGAUGAGCCGCCACACUGGGACUGAGACACGGCCCAGACUCCUGCGGGAGGCAGCAGUGGGGAAUUUUGGACAAUGGGGGCAACCCUGAUCCAGCCAUGCCGCGUGAGUGAAGAAGGCCUUCGGGUUGUAAAGCUCUUUCGGCCGGGAAGAAAUCGCACAGGCUAAUACUCUGUGUGGAUGACGGUACCGGCAUAAGAAGCACCGGCUAACUACGUGCCAGCAGCCGCGGUAA